GACACUGACGUCGCGACGCAUAUCAAUAAGCGGAGGAAAAGAAACUAACAAGGAUUCCCUUAGUAACGGCGAGUGAAGCGGGAAGAGCUCAAAUUUGAAAUCUUCAAGGUUCUACCUUGACGAAUUGUAGUUUAAAGAAGUGUUUUCUGUUGAAGUGAUUGGCUAAAAGUUCUUUGGAAUAGGACAUCAUAGAGGGUGAGAAUCCCGUAUUUGGUACAUAUCCUUCUAGCUGUGUGAUACACUUUCAAAGAGUCGGAUUGUUUGGGAAUGCAGUCCAAAAUGGGUGGUAAAUUUCAUCUAAAGCUAAAUAUUGGCGAGAGACCGAUAGCGAACAAGUACCGUGAGGGAAAGAUGAAAAGAACUUUGAAAAGAGAGUUAAACAGUACGUGAAAUUGUCAAAAGGGAAGCGUUUGACACCAGUGUUGUUUUUCCGAAAAUCAAUUAUAAAUGUUUUGUUUCUGAGGAGUGAUGACUUCAUCGGCUUCCUUCUCUCUUCACGAAACUUUUGUAAUGCACUUUUCGGUUAACAAGUCAACAUCAGUUUCUUUUGUUGUAAAAGAGUAUUCGGAAGGUGGCUUUCUUUUCGGAGAAAGUGUUUAUAGCCCUAUACUUCUACAAUCGGAGAGAUUGAGGUCUGCAGCGUAGAUCCUUCGGGGUUAGAUACACUUGUGCUAAGUUAUAGCUUUUCAUAGACAACUUGUUGACUAUGUUUAGUCUUGUAGCUUACUCGCUUGUGCUAUUUUACCUACGCUUAGGAUGUUGAGUCGUAGAGCACGCAG
This 779-nucleotide ribosomal RNA is filed under the name uncultured Neocallimastigales. Its description in RNAcentral is "partial large subunit ribosomal RNA". It matches the Rfam family "Eukaryotic large subunit ribosomal RNA", at positions 23 to 634 of the family's 3401-position model. Lineage: Eukaryota; Fungi; Neocallimastigomycota; Neocallimastigomycetes; Neocallimastigales. The record is from RNAcentral.